RNAcentral lists this long non-coding RNA (2202 nucleotides) under Astyanax mexicanus (Mexican tetra). RNAcentral's name for it is "lncRNA (ENSAMXG00005002529.1)". The record is from RNAcentral. Lineage: Eukaryota; Metazoa; Chordata; Actinopteri; Characiformes; Acestrorhamphidae.
AUGAAUUCCACAAACAUGCCAGACAACUUUCUGACUCAGAGGCUGAAUGUAGAAGAACAGCUACAGGGAGGAUGGCAUUACAGUGCUGCUCAAUAUUCCAACACGUUUAUGGUGGAGCCUCAUGCUCACCAGAUGCCCUACCAGAUAUGCUGCACUGACUAUCUCCACAGUGCCCCUAGCUGGUUGCCAUUCGGGGGCCUUCAUCAUUAUGGUCAGUUCAUGUCACAGUGGUUCUACAAUUCCCAGGGAAUGGUAUAUCACCCUGCAUACCCUUACUAUGGAUACCAGACAUCACUGGAAACAAGCCAUGAAGUUGUUGAUGCAACCAGCUUUCAUUAUCAGACAUUACAUCAGCCGAACUUUGCCUCAGACCAGGGAAUUAACGAUGAUGUCUCUAUGGUUCCAUCGUUUGUAGAGGUACCACAUCUUGCUGUAACUCACACCGGUGGACUGGAUCUCGCAUACAACCUUUCCACCAGGGCACAGGUUCCUGCUCACCUUACUUACCAUGAUCUUCAGAGGUUUGGUGAUAGAAGAUUAGUUUUCCCUGUCCCACAUCCCUCAUUGCCUGAGGUCACAUCCCCUGAGGACAUAUCAGAGAUUCAUCAGCGUCCUGUAGAACCUGUAGAGUUUGGAGAUGCCUGUGCAGACACAGGGUCAAUGAGAUUUCACAGGUUUCACCCCCUGGAAAUAGAAAAUCACUCCUCACAGCACGUAUACCCGGAGGCCUGUACUGAGCACUUCCCAGAGAGAGCAGAGUUCUGUGAUGGCCCUGUUUCUGCUGCAUCUGAAGCAUCACCAACCAUGAAUUUACUCAAUUCUAUGUGCCAAGCUAACCCUGACUUUCACAACAAUUUAACUUUUAACAAUUGGUCAGGCUCAGCGUACCCAACAUUUCCUGAGGUCGCAUCCCUGGAAGACAAUACAAGUUUCUUCCAGUGUGAGAAUGAGACUUAUCAGCCUCCUGUAGAAGCAGAGUUUGAAGAAGCCAGUGUGGACUUACGAUCAAUGGGAUUUCACCCCUGGGCAACUCAAGAUCAUCACUCAGACAGUGUAGACAGAGUGGCCAGUCGAGUCGAGUGCAGUGAUGGUCUUGUUUUGACAACAGAAGCAGCUUCUAAUCAUUAUGAUCCACUGUGUCCUACUAACACAGACUUUGAGGACCUUAACAAUUGGUCGAUCUCAGUGGACCCAAUGUUUCCUGAGGUUACAUCCCUAGGGAAUUCCAUGAUGUUCUUGCAAUGUGAUCCUGAGGCUGAAAUAUUAGAGACUUAUCUGCCUCCUGCAAAGGCAGAGUUUGCAGAAGCCUGUCCAGAACCAGGAUCAAUGGGAUUUGAGGACUCGAUGGACUAUAAAGAGCACUUUCCAGAGAGAGCACAGUUCUGCGAUGGUCUUAUUUCUACAACAGAAGCAGAUUCUACUCAUUAUAAUCAACCAUGCCUUGCUACAACUGACUUUAAGGACCUUAACCUUUGGUCAGACUCACUGGAAGAUACCGCAGAGUUCUUUAAAUGUGAGCCUGAGACUGAAAUAUCAAUGAUUUCUCAGCCACCUGUAGAAGUAGAACUUGGAGAAGCCUGUGCUGACACAGAGUCAAUGAGAGUUCACCAAACAAUGACUCAAGAUCACUUCUCAGACCAUGCAGACCUGGUGGAUGGUACUGAGCACUUCCAGGAGCGAGCAGAGUUCUGCGAUGGCCCUGUUUCUACAACAGAAGCAAUUACUACUCAGUAUGAUCAACCGUGCCAUGCUCAAACUGACUUUAAGGACCUUAACAUUUGGUCAGACUCACUGGAACCAACAUGUCCUGAGGUCACAGCCCUGGAUGAUACCACAGAGCUCUUUCAGUGUGAGCCUGAGGCUGAAACAUCAGACAUUUCUCAGCUUUCUGUAAAGCCAGAGUUUGGAGAAGCCUGUGCUGAAACAGGGUCAAUGAGAGUUCACCACACAAUGACUCAAGAUCACUUCUCAGACCAUGCAGACUGUACUGAGCACCUCCAGGAGCGAGCAGAGUUCUGCGAUGGUUUUGUUUCUACAACAGAAGCAGCUAAAACUACUAACCCAGACCUUCAGAACCAUAACAAUGAGUCAGGCACACUAAAGGACCUAAAGCAUCCUGAGGUCACACCCCUAAAAGACACCAUGAGCUUAUGUAAGAUUUCCCAGCCUCCUGUAGAAGAAUCUGAGCCAAUGCAGAUAUAA